RNAcentral lists this ribosomal RNA (467 nucleotides) under uncultured bacterium. RNAcentral describes it as "partial 16S ribosomal RNA". It matches the Rfam family "Bacterial small subunit ribosomal RNA", at positions 28 to 506 of the family's 1533-position model. The record is from RNAcentral.
GACGAACGCUGGCGGCGUGCUUAACACAUGCAAGUCGAACGGAAAGGCCCUGCUUUUGUGGGGUGCUCGAGUGGCGAACGGGUGAGUAACACGUGAGUAACCUGCCCUUGACUUUGGGAUAACUUCAGGAAACUGGGGCUAAUACCGGAUAGGAGCUCCUGCUGCAUGGUGGGGGUUGGAAAGUUUCGGCGGUUGGGGAUGGACUCGCGGCUUAUCAGCUUGUUGGUGGGGUAGUGGCUUACCAAGGCUUUGACGGGUAGCCGGCCUGAGAGGGUGACCGGCAACAUUGGGACUGAGAUACGGCCCAGACUCCUACGGGAGGCAGCAGUGGGGAAUAUUGCACAAUGGGCGGAAGCCUGAUGCAGCAACGCCGCGUGCGGGAUGACGGCCUUCGGGUGGUAAACCGCUUUCGCCUGUGACGAAGCGUGAGUGACGGUAAUGGGGAAAGAAGCACCGGCUAACUACGU